ACCAGCAGGCAUAUCACUCUGCAACUAACACCUGACAACCCACUGAAGCUAAGCAGGUGUGAGUCUGGCCAGUACCUGGAUGGGAGACCUCCUGGGACUAAAACUAAGGUUGCUGCUGGAA
This 121-nucleotide ribosomal RNA is filed under the name Lepisosteus oculatus (spotted gar). Lineage: Eukaryota; Metazoa; Chordata; Actinopteri; Semionotiformes; Lepisosteidae. The record is from RNAcentral.